CUAUGAUAUGAAACACAGAGAUAAUACCUUGGAAGCACUACGUUAACAAAACAAAAUAUCUAUGAAUAUGAUAGGUCUCCUUAAAAGAGGCGUGGUUUGUCAAACAGCUUUAUUCACAGCUGCAAUCUUUAGAUAGAAGAUAAAAUGUCGAUACAUUGUAGAUGUCUACGGACUUGUUUUAUUUGUAUGUGAUAUUUGUAUUUUGAAGAAAACUAAGUCCUACAAAAAUGUAAUGCCUUGAGACAGAAAAUAAAUAUCUUGAAACUUUGUUGAUGUUUAAGAACAUACUGUAUUGGUAUAUAGUAUUUGUAUUUUGAAAUAAAAUACCGUACUAAUAGAAUACGACAGGAAAUUAUCAUUAUUGUUCUAUUUAUUUAAAGAUAUUUUUAAUGGUUAAAAUUGUCUAGUAUAUUUAUAUUCAGAUGUUUUUGUUUAUUUUCUCACCCACAGCCAAGCACUGUAUUUCUUGAGAAGUGUACAUGCACGGUCAAUUAGAUCUUAAAG
RNAcentral lists this long non-coding RNA (504 nucleotides) under Mytilus galloprovincialis (Mediterranean mussel). The record is from RNAcentral. Lineage: Eukaryota; Metazoa; Mollusca; Bivalvia; Mytilida; Mytilidae.